RNAcentral lists this ribosomal RNA (250 nucleotides) under uncultured bacterium. RNAcentral describes it as "partial 16S ribosomal RNA". It matches the Rfam family "Bacterial small subunit ribosomal RNA", at positions 89 to 339 of the family's 1533-position model. The record is from RNAcentral.
UGGCGACCGGCGCACGGGUGCGUAACGCGUAUGCAACCUACCUUUUACUGGAGGAUAGCCUUUAGAAAUGAAGAUUAAUACUCCAUAAUAUUUAGAUUCAGCAUUGGAUUUAGAUUAAAGUUUCGGCGGUAAAAGAUGGGCAUGCGUUUUAUUAGUUAGUUGGUAAGGUAACGGCUUACCAAGACUACGAUAAAUAGGGGUCCUGAGAGGGAGAUCCCCCACACUGGUACUGAGACACGGACCAGACUCC